GCGCCCGUAGCUCAGCUGGGUAGAGUAUCUGAUUAAUAAUCAGAGGGUCGGGAGUUCGAAUCUCUUCGGGCGUACCA
This 77-nucleotide transfer RNA is filed under the name Chloroflexota bacterium. Its description in RNAcentral is "Chloroflexi bacterium tRNA-Ile". It matches the Rfam family "tRNA". From Rfam's summary of the family: Transfer RNA (tRNA) molecules are approximately 80 nucleotides in length. Their secondary structure includes four short double-helical elements and three loops (D, anti-codon, and T loops). Further hydrogen bonds mediate the characteristic L-shaped molecular structure. tRNAs have two regions of fundamental functional importance: the anti-codon, which is responsible for specific mRNA codon recognition, and the 3' end, to which the tRNAs corresponding amino acid is attached (by aminoacyl-tRNA synthetases). tRNAs cope with the degeneracy of the genetic code in two manners: having more than one tRNA (with a specific anti-codon) for a particular amino acid; and 'wobble' base-pairing, i.e. permitting non-standard base-pairing at the 3rd anti-codon position. Lineage: Bacteria; Bacillati; Chloroflexota. The record is from RNAcentral.